This 495-nucleotide ribosomal RNA is filed under the name uncultured bacterium. RNAcentral describes it as "bacterial SSU rRNA". It matches the Rfam family "Bacterial small subunit ribosomal RNA", at positions 30 to 504 of the family's 1533-position model. The record is from RNAcentral.
CGAACGCUGGCGGCGUGCCUAACACAUGCAAGUCGAACGAGAAAGUCACUUCGGUGGCGAGUAUAGUGGCGCACGGGUGAGUAACACGUAGGUGACCUGCCCUUUAGUUUGGAAUAACCAAGAGAAAUUUUGGCUAAUACCGGAUAAGAAAAGCAAUUUUGGAAGUAGCUUUUGAAAGGAUGCCUCUGCAUAUGCAUUCGCUGAAGGAUGGGCCUGCGGGACAUUAGCUUGAUGGUGGGGUAACGGCUUACCAUGGCAACGAUGUCUAGCCGGAUUGAGAGAUUGAUCGGCCACACUGGGACUGAGACACGGCCCAGACUCCUACGGGAGGCAGCAGUGGGGAAUAUUGCGCAAUGGACGAAAGUCUGACGCAGCAACGCCGCGUGAGGGAGGAAGGUUCUCGGAUUGUAAACCUCUGUCAACGUGGAAGAACGGGCAUUCAUCUAAUAGGUGUUUGUUUUGACGGUACACGUAAAGGAAGCACCGGCUAACUUC